GAUAUUUGCAUCUAAAACUUUGGGACUCGGAAUAAUAAUUCAUCUCUGUCACUCCUAUUAUGCAUAAACUGUCUCUGUUACUCCUACAGCAGUUGUAUUGGACUGAUGCGCGGAAAUGCUGCGCGUUGAUCGGACUGUUUUGGGCAUUGUACAUUUGUGUAUGUUUUUACACUCUAUUGUUGACUAUAACCACGUUUUUUUUAUAAUAUUGCUGAUAUCGUGUUGUUAUUCUUGUUAACUAUGAACUCCAAAAAAUAUUGUAAUAACGCAGUCAAGUAAUUAUAUAUUUCGUAUAGGUACUUGUAAGUUAUUUAUUUGAUUUUUGAAAUGUGUGUUAUUGAAACAUAAAAUGGAAACUGAGGAUCAUGUUGAUUUAUUUUGUAAUUAAGAAAUUUUAUUUUUUAUUAAUAAAAAAAUUUCAAAAGAUCAAAUAAUACUUUGUACUCAAAGGUGGAAAAUAAACGGUUUAAGAAAUACAUACUCUGCGCAUGCAUUUCCAGGCUGCGACACCCGUCACCACUAGUGCUAUUUUCGGGAAAGGUAAAAAAGCUAUUAUUAAAUUAUUAGAAAAGAAUGAAGACUUAAGAAUAACUGCGAAAGAAUUCUGCAACUUCGAUGUUAGUACUAAAAAUUUAGAAGAAGCUGCAAAGAAAAUAAUUUUGAAAUUAUAUGGGAUAAAUGAUGAUGACAUGGAUAUGGGUAAUAUUCGUUAUAGACGUGUUGUUGCUUUAUCAGCUCAAUCACAAGCUGAAAUUCGACUUUCAAGCUUACCUCCAACUACUUCAGCUUUAACUCAACACGCAAAAAGAGUUUAUUAUCAAAUGCAAUUAUGGUUAGGUAAUAAUUUACAACCACAAGAAUGGGGUUGGAAACGGCUCAACAUAAUGAUGGUUCCAGUCAUGACCACUGAUGAUGCGGCUCCGAAGGAAUUAUUGAAUCAGAUGUUCUGUGGCUGCACCGGUAAUUGUACAAACAAGCGUUGUACAUGUCAAGAAGCUCGUAUACGCCGUUCCAAUUAAUUAUGAAAAUAAAAUUAUAAAUAAUCCAACU
Molecule: long non-coding RNA, 1050 nt
Organism: Leptidea sinapis
Lineage: Eukaryota; Metazoa; Arthropoda; Insecta; Lepidoptera; Pieridae
Exons: 2
Source: RefSeq, a predicted model, not a curated record